AACUAUUGGUGUUUUUCCUUGCGUGUGGAGUAGGGCUGCCUAAUAGGGCCAGUAUUUUCUUAGAGGGAGAGGGGUGUGUGUCCUGAGGACUCUAGAUAAGUGGAAAACGCUGUAAUAAAUUCUUCAUAAUUAAUACGCACCCCAUACACUCAAGGCAGCUUGGGCCAUAGCAAUAACCACUCAGAAUUCAUCCCAACCACUAACCCUGAGCCCAAUAAUCUCUCUCCGAAUUUCUAGUUUGAGGGAAAACAGUCCUUCCCAGUGGGUUGUGGGUCGGCACCUGUGGGCCAGGCCGGUCCUGGCUCCCUCCUUCCUACCUCUGUCCUCUGCCCUGCCUUGGUCUCUUUUUCUGGGGCAGGGUGGUGCUGUCUAUUCAGGCAGGGGUUGGGGGAGCCUGGGCCACCGUGGAGGACAACAGGAGCUGUGUUAAUGGGCAGUUUGGGGAAGGAGCCAUGUUGGAGGAGUAUGUGGUUCCCAUUGGAGGUUGGGGUGUUCUCGGGCUGGGGACAAAGAUGCUGUAUUUGUUGCUGGCCUUGAGUUGAUGUGACAGUUGUGAGGUGAAGUCUAGACAUCUAAUGAUCUGUAACAUUUGCUGUACCCCAAUCUCCACUUAGAUAUGGGAGAGUCCUAACCGGAGAGUCAGGAGCCGUACCCACCCCAUAGCGUCUGACUUUUAAGGCAUCCUUCUCCCUAAGGGAGAGGCCCCCAGGCUGAGGACCAUCUCCCUCAGAUAACCCCACACAUACUCGGUGGACUUCCCAGCCUGGGAGGCCCCUGAGUCCACCCAAAAAGAGGUGGGGAAGGAGCUGGGAAACCCUCCCUAACCCUCUCCUUUCCCUAGGGUUUCCCGUCACUCACCACUUCCCCUCGGAUCCUGCACAGGCUGUGGGUUGGGGGAAUGACUACCCACGCACACGCACGCGCACACUCCUCAGCCUCCAGCACACUUCAUCCACUCUCCGGACUGCAAAUUUAGCAGCCCAAACCCGGAGCGCACUCGAGACCCUGUCGCAGGUUUCUAAUUGUUAGGGACCCCUGUUGCCCACUCCAGUCCUAUCCCCCGCCCCAGGGCCCGUCCUCCCACUACCCCACCCCUGCAGCCGUCACACCACGAAUGUAAGUUCGGUCUUUUUAACCAGCUGCUACUUGGCGUGCCCCUGGUACCGCCGGCCUCGGAAUCC
RNAcentral lists this long non-coding RNA (1181 nucleotides) under Rattus norvegicus (Norway rat). RNAcentral's name for it is "long non-coding RNA NONRATT029200". Lineage: Eukaryota; Metazoa; Chordata; Mammalia; Rodentia; Muridae. The record is from RNAcentral.